Diabrotica virgifera virgifera (western corn rootworm) is the source of this 694-nucleotide long non-coding RNA. RefSeq lists it as uncharacterized. The record is from RefSeq and is a predicted model, not a curated record. The transcript has 2 exons. NCBI's taxonomy places the organism in Eukaryota, Metazoa, Arthropoda, Insecta, Coleoptera, Chrysomelidae.
AUCUUCUUCUAAUUGGUUUACCCAUUUUCCCCUUUAAAAAUCGGUUGGCGCUCUCUUUUAUUACCUUCUUUUAUUAUCUUCUAUUUAAUAUAUCUCUUUCAUUUAAAUCAUCAUACUGAACAUACCUCGUAUAUUCAUACUCUCCAAAUAUCUGUAUUUUCAAUACGGAACAUGCCGCUACUUCAUAGUACUUGGUUGUCAUUUUAAAUGUCGUUUUCAAUGACAGUGUCACUUCAUCGACUUGACCCCCUACUCCCUGACAUACACUGGAAGGGAAAAAUUAAUCCUUAAAAAGGCAUGUAAUUCGAAAAAUAAAUCAUUUCUAUUUCAACAAAUCAUCUUCCUCUUGGGUUUUUUUGGAAAGAAAUCACUUUUCUCCCUUUGGGAGCUUCAAACCAUCCACACCGGUGAUGGAACUAAGGCUGACACAAUGGGGACUUUGACAUCCAGACUCCAGCAUCCAACACCUUUAGCUGCAGGGGCCUAGGGCCGAAGAUCUGCCCAGGCCUACGAGAAGUCUACAACAGCAGUACCAUACGACAUCAAGAAGAUACCAUCAGCUACCAAAAGCCAUAAGUAUAAUCCAGAAUUGUUAGUUUUUGGCAAGAAUUUAAAUACAUUUGUUAAUGCAAUUUACUAAGUCAUUUUAUUUAUUAUAUCUUUAUGAACAAUAAACAUGAUUAGUUAAAAACUA